Molecule: ribosomal RNA, 405 nt
Filed under: uncultured bacterium
Lineage: Bacteria
Description: partial 16S ribosomal RNA
Rfam family: Bacterial small subunit ribosomal RNA
Source: RNAcentral
AUUGAACGCUGCGGCAGGCUUAACACAUGCAAGUCGAGCGAGCGGCGGACGGGGGAGUAAUGCUUAGGAAUCUGCCUCUUCGUGGGGGACAGCAUCUCGAAAGGGAUGCUAAUACCACAUACUACUAGAUGAGCAUAAGUCGGAUUAGCUAGGUGGUGGGGUAAAGGCCUACCAAGGCGACGAUCUCUAGCGGGUCUGAGAGGAUGAUCAGCCACACUGGGACUGGAAUACUGCCCCGACGCCUACGGGAGGUCAGAGUGGGGAAUUUUGGACAAUGGGGGGAACCCUGAACCGGCCAUGCCGCGGUUGUUAAGAAGGCCUUAUGGUUGUAAAGCACUUUCAGCUAGGAGGCGUUACCCGAAGAAGAAGCACCGGCUAACUCCGUGCCAGCCGCCGCGGUAAUUC